UUAUAAAAUUUAGAUACAGGGUAACUUUCAAAUUGUGAGUGUGAGGAGAAAGAGAUAAUCGUUCACUUCUAACAGAGUGUACUGAUGCCAUUUUAUCUUUAUCCCAUUUUAACUUGCAUUUAUCCUGUUUUUAUGAUUAUUUUAAAAUUUCUUAAGAGUAUGCUACAAAAUAAUUAAUGUAGAAGGUGCUGGAAAAGAGAAGCGAUAACACUGCGUGCUAACGCGAGUCAGCGCCAUUUUAGCACGCAUACAAUCUGUGGGAAUAACGUUACAUGGUGGCACAACACGACUUCUGGGGACUCAACAUUUAUUUUUAAGACUUAAAGGAAUUGGAGGAGAAUGGGAUUGCGGUAUCAGAUGAAACCGUAGUCAAAGGAACCUUGUAUUGCAUUGCUGGAGAUAAUCUAGGGUGACGAUCCUAAUCUAUGUGGACCAGCCCGCACCAUUGAGAGCUACAAUUCAGCUGUAGAUCGCAUCCAGACUGAAGAUACACAAGUGGAAGGAGUAAAAUUCAAAGACGAUCAUGUCAAAACACAAUGAACACAACAACACCUGCUAAACAUUCUUCAAAAACUAUGUCCCACCUCUCUUCAGUAAGUCUGGAGCCAAUAAUUCAGACACCAGUCUUAAGGAUAAUUGGGAAGUAAUGAGAGAUUAUACCAGUCCACAGUGACUACGUGUGAGUCCUCAGGUAGUACCCGUGACGAUGCAAGCUUUACGUUUCCAGUUUUUCGAACCGACACAGUCCCAUAUCUUCAGUCAAGCGUGGACUCAUUACUAUUGUUCAGCCAGAGCAAGUGUUGCUGAUUGAUGUUUAUUCCACCAUUGGUUAUCCUUCAUUUAUUAUGGACACAUGC
Xyrauchen texanus (razorback sucker) is the source of this 857-nucleotide long non-coding RNA. RefSeq lists it as uncharacterized. NCBI's taxonomy places the organism in Eukaryota, Metazoa, Chordata, Actinopteri, Cypriniformes, Catostomidae. The transcript has 6 exons. The record is from RefSeq and is a predicted model, not a curated record.